AAUGAACGUUGGCGGCGUGGAUUAGGCAUGCAAGUCGAGCGAGAACCCCGCAAGGGGGGACAGCGGCGAAAGGGACAGUAAUGUGUAGAUUAUCUGCCCUCAGGUCCGGGAUAGCUGCGGGAAACUGCAGGUAAUACCGGAUAACAUCUCCGGAUCAAAGGUGUGAUUCCGCCUGAGGAUGAGUCUGCAUCCUAUUAGCUAGUUGGUGGGGUAAUGGCCUACCAAGGCAUUGAUGGGUAGCAGGUGUGAGAGCACGACCUGCGUCAUUGGGACUGAGACACUGCCCAGACACCUACGGGUGGCUGCAGUCGAGAGUCUUCGGCAAUGGGCGCAAGCCUGACCGAGCGACGCCGCGUGUGGGAUGAAGGCCUUCGGGUUGUAAACCACUGUCAGAGGGGAUGAAAUGCAGGUGGGUUCUCCCAUCUGUUUGACAUAGCCUCAGAGGAAGGACGGGCUAAGUUCGUG
This 465-nucleotide ribosomal RNA is filed under the name uncultured bacterium. RNAcentral's name for it is "partial 16S ribosomal RNA". It matches the Rfam family "Bacterial small subunit ribosomal RNA", at positions 29 to 507 of the family's 1533-position model. The record is from RNAcentral.